This 238-nucleotide ribosomal RNA is filed under the name Calicotome villosa. Lineage: Eukaryota; Viridiplantae; Streptophyta; Magnoliopsida; Fabales; Fabaceae. The record is from RNAcentral.
UCGAAGCCUCACAAGCAGUGCGACCCUGUGAAUUUGUUUGACUACUCGGGGGUGGCUAGAGGUGUUCGGCACCACGGUCCCCCUCUUGCCAGGAGGUGUACACCCUGUGUGAUCCCCUCCUGGCCAAAUAACAAAACCCCGGCGCCGAACGCGCCAAGGAAAAUGAAAUCGUUUAGUGCGCCCCCGUCGGCUCGGAGACGGUGCCAGUACGGGCGGCGUUGCGACACGCGUAUCUGAA